Mesocricetus auratus (golden hamster) is the source of this 264-nucleotide long non-coding RNA. RefSeq lists it as uncharacterized. The transcript has 3 exons. NCBI's taxonomy places the organism in Eukaryota, Metazoa, Chordata, Mammalia, Rodentia, Cricetidae. The record is from RefSeq and is a predicted model, not a curated record.
CCCAUUGUCUCUUGUCUUCGGAUUUUUCCAGCCUUCAUUUUCUCUGGUUACCCAUUUCUGUCCUGGCUGUUCUCUGGAACCUUUUAACAUUGCUAUGGGUUUGUGGCUCCUUCUCUUGUCAAUCAUUUGCCACCAUCUCAGCCUGCCCUAGUGUGGAGAUCAGGAUGUCACUGCUCCAGCACUUGCCUGCAUGCCACCAUGCUCCCCGGCAUAAUGAUCAUGGACUAAACCUCUGAACCUGAAGAGACUUGCAACUGAGACAAG